UCACGGGCAAGCGGCAGACGGGUGCAGUAACGCGUGGAUAAUCUACCCGACCCUGCGUGAAUAGCUCCGGGUAAACUGGAAUUAAUACCGCAUACGCCCUACGGGGGAAAGAUUUAUCGGGGAUUGAUGAGCCCGCGUUGGAUUAGCUAGUUGGUGGGGUAAAGGCCUACCAAGGCGACGAUCCAUAGCUGGUCUGAGACGAGGAACCAGCUCUAUUGGGACUGAGACACGACCCAAACUUAUACGGGAGGCAGCAGUGGGGAAUAUUGGACAAUGGGCGCAAGCCUGAUCCAGCCAUGCCGCGUGAGUGAUGAAGGCCCUAGGGUUGUAAAGCUCUUUCACCGGUGAAGAUAAUGACGGUAACCGGAGAAGAAGCCCCGGCUAACUUCGUGCCAGCA
Molecule: ribosomal RNA, 398 nt
Filed under: Rhizobiaceae bacterium
Lineage: Bacteria; Pseudomonadati; Pseudomonadota; Alphaproteobacteria; Hyphomicrobiales; Rhizobiaceae
Description: bacterial SSU rRNA
Rfam family: Bacterial small subunit ribosomal RNA
Source: RNAcentral